RNAcentral lists this long non-coding RNA (242 nucleotides) under Gallus gallus (chicken). Lineage: Eukaryota; Metazoa; Chordata; Aves; Galliformes; Phasianidae. The record is from RNAcentral.
UGCCAGGAAAAUGCUUCAGCAAUCACAUAACAAAAAAGAUCUGGAGAGUUCCCUCUGAAGUCCAAAAUAAGAUGCUUGUAUCAAAUUCUGCAUGUUUAUUUCUUUACUGGUCAGUUAUAAACAGUGAUUGGGUUUUCAAAAAAUAUUCUUUAAAUAGUAGCAAUGGACAGUAGAAAAAACAUUGUAGGCAAUUAUAUUAUUCAAAAGUUUUCUGAAACUACAAAGUUACACUCACAUCUCCC